Molecule: ribosomal RNA, 255 nt
Filed under: uncultured Sphingomonas sp.
Lineage: Bacteria; Pseudomonadati; Pseudomonadota; Alphaproteobacteria; Sphingomonadales; Sphingomonadaceae
Description: partial 16S ribosomal RNA
Rfam family: Bacterial small subunit ribosomal RNA
Source: RNAcentral
UCGACGAGACCUUCGGGUCUAGUGGCGCACGGGUGCGUAACGCGUGGGAAUCUGCCCCUUGGUUCGGAAUAACAGUUAGAAAUGACUGCUAAUACCGGAUAAUGUCUUCGGACCAAAGAUUUAUUGCCAAGGGAUGAGCCCGCGUAGGAUUAGCUAGUUGGUGAGGCAAAAGCUCACCAAGGCGACGAUCCUUAGCUGGUCUGAGAGGAUGAUCAGCCACACUGGGACUGAGACACGGCCCAGACUCCUACGGGA